AGUCCUGCCUGGGAUAGUCAUCUUCUUGAUACAGCGUGCUAUCCUUGGGAGGUUCCAGCUCUCAGAAGACUAGCGUGGAAAUGCUGUGGCCGAGUGUCUUCGUUGCAUUUAAUUUUCAGGGCUCCAUGCUGAGGAUUUUAUUUUCCUUUGCAAUGCUUAUGCUGCGGAGCCCUUUUCUCAGAGGUAGGCUGACGUUAGCACACUGAAGCAGCAAGCAGGUUCACUGGAGCAAGUUUAUUUGUAGUGUGGCCUGAGUCGCGUUUGAGGGUGCCAUUAUGAUUCAGAAGGCUCCACAAGGUUUGAAUAUCAAUGGUACAUCAAAGGACUGUAGCUGUGAAGUACCAGACGUUCUCCCUCACAGGCCCCAGAAUGGGGAGAGUGAGAGAUGGGUUCAAAGUUGGGAAAUGGGUAGGAUUUUUCCAAGGGCACUAACAGUCAAGUAGGCACCCCAGGUCUUUGUAAAUGUGGUGGAGUCUUUCUGGGAUGUGCACACUGUGAGGACGGUGAAGAUAAUACUUGCAGCAGCCAGACCAAUCUGCUUCCUUCACUGCACUGUAUGCCUCUUCAAUCCAGCAAAAAAUUGAGAAACAAGUGCGUUCACCUUUCCCCUACACAGAUUUCUUUUUCUCAGAAAAUUGAAAUGUUUAUCUUAAUUAUUUUUUUUAAUUAUUAUUUUUAUGUAUACUUCCAGAUUUUGGAAUUCUUUUUUUAAUCCACCCAACGCUCCUACUUACGCUUGGUCUUUCAAAGCAAAAUGUAAACUUAGUAAUUCCUGUUUUAAUUCUGGAAUUCAAUUAUGCUGAGUUAGAACUCCUUUAGUGGGAGUUAAGUGGGGAAGAGACCUACCUUAGUUCUUGCUGAUGCAGUAUUAAGUUACCUAAAAGAUGAGAAAAACUGACCGAAUGUAGAACUCCUUGGAAGGCUUUUCAGAGGUCCUUCUCUCAAAAGACUGCCUAGUUGGCUUACCUAGCUGGUAAGUCUGGUGGAUAUGAGAGAAGGGCAAUAUCUUCAAUUUAAAGAGGUAAAGCUGAUGUUAAGUGACUUGACCAAGGUCACAGAAGGAAAAAGUCGCAAGAACUGGAAACUGAUGGUGAGACAACCUGAUUUCAUGCUGUUGUAGAGAGCUAUGGCUUAAUAACAGGGACUUGGGUGGCUUUUAACUAAAUGAGCUCUGCUUAGGCAGCUUGUUUUGAUGUUAUUUCUGUCCUUUUGGAAUGUAUUUUAUCCCCUAACCUUUCUCCCUGAAAAUACAGUUUGUGUGAACAUGUAUAUUAAGUGUUAUGAGGAAAGAGAAAUUGCUGUGUAUCCAUAUGGAGAGACAUUGGCAAAACUACCUUAUUACUUGGAUUCCAACCAGAACUGGCUUUUUGAGUUUGCUCUGUGCUCUGAGGUGAGCAGAAUACUUUAACGUGCACUGCUACCCACUCCU
Molecule: long non-coding RNA, 1429 nt
Organism: Gallus gallus (chicken)
Lineage: Eukaryota; Metazoa; Chordata; Aves; Galliformes; Phasianidae
Source: Ensembl